Molecule: ribosomal RNA, 405 nt
Filed under: uncultured bacterium
Lineage: Bacteria
Description: partial 16S ribosomal RNA
Rfam family: Bacterial small subunit ribosomal RNA
Source: RNAcentral
GAUGAACGCUGGCGGCGUGCCUAAUACAUGCAAGUCGAGCGAAGCGGGGACGGGUGAGUAACACGUGGAUAACCUGCUAUAAGACUGGGAUAACUUCGGGAAACAGGAGUUAAAACGGAUACUUAGAAGUGGAUCCGCGUUGCAUUGUCUAGUUGGUAUUGUAACGGCUGACCAAAGCAACGAUUCAGAGACGACCUGAGAGGGUGUUCGGGCAGACGGGAACUGAGACACGGUACAGACUCCUACGGGAGGCAGCAGUAGGGAAUCUUCAGCAAUUGGCGACAGCCUGACGGAGCAACGCCGCGUGAGUGAUGAAGGUCUUCGGAUCGUAAAACUCUGUUAAUAGGGAAGCGGUACCUAAUCAGAAAGCCACGGCUAACUACGUGCCAGCAGCCGCGGUAAUAC